AUGUGCAUUGCCAUUGCAACUUCUCUUCUCAUGAGUCUGAUAUGUGCUAUGGCUACUUAUGGAGUAUACAAGCAACAACAGCCUGAGUUAUCCCAUUCUUUUGUUACCAGAUCUUUGAUUUUGCCCUGAACACCUUGGUUGCAAUCACUGUGCUUGUUUAUCCAAACUCCAUUCAGGAAUACAUACGACAACUGCCUCCUAAUUUUCCCUACAGAGAUGAUGUCAUGUCAGUGAAUCCUACCUGUUUGGUCCUUAUUAUUCUUCUGUUUAUUAGCAUCAUCUUGACUUUUAAGGGUUACUUGAUUAGCUGUGUUUGGAACUGCUACAUCAAUGGCAGGAACUCCUCCGAUGUCCUGGUUUACGUUACCAGCAAUGACAAUACAGUGCUGCUACCCCCGUAUGAUGAUGCCAUUGUGAAUGCUGCUGCCAAAGAGCUGCUGCCACCUUACGUGUCUGCCUAAGCGAAGCUGAGGGCAGCAGCUUGACUCUUUUGACAUCUGAGCAAUGGUUGUUUUUUCACUUUUGCAAGGAGCUCUCUGAGCUUGUUUGUUGCUGAAAUGCUACUUUUAAAAAUGUAGACGUUAGUUAGGUUGAAACCUGUACUUUUCAGCAUAUGCUUUACUAGAACACUGUGAUAGAUGAGCUGUAGAAUUCUUUCUGUAGGAUUCGGGGUGUAAUGGGCUUCACUAACCUUCCCUAGGCACUGAAACGUCCCCCAAAUCUGAUGGACCCAGAGUCAGAGAAGUUUGCUUUUGUACCUGCUGGGCUCCAAAGAUAGGCAGUCACACUUUUUCUCUCUACUCCCUCUAUUUUGAAAGUGUAAAAUAAAAUCAAAAGUAGACAACUUUUACUUAAGCCAUUCCAGUGUAGAGAACAAAACCUUAUGAAAACAGAAAUGCCAACUGUGUAAUCAUUGUUCUAAUUAGGUAAAUAGAAGUCCUUAUAUAUGGAUUACAAGAAUUUGCCCCAUAGCAUCCUUUAUGACUUAAGUUCAAUGACAGUUUGCACUUGGUGGUAUAGGAUUUUUCUCCAUGGCCUAAAUCAAGACCAUUAGAAAGCACUAGGCGGUGGGAGCAGUAACCAUCUGAUGACUGUUCUCAUGCAUCCGGGUCCAGGGACAUGGGGCGACAUGCCUCGUCUGUGUUAGAGGGUGGGACGGGUGUGUUGGGCGCUGCAUGGGACCUGGUCCUCCUCUACUAGAUUCACAUCCCAACCCAGGGCCCACUUUUACUAAGUGUUCUGCCCUAGCCUGGUUCAAGGAGGUCAUCCAGCUGACUUUAUCAAGUGGAAUUGGGAUAUAUUUGAUAUACAUUUGCCUGACAACUUGGAAAAGGGUUUUCCUCCUCCUUUCCCUGAAAGGUACAUUCUACUGCUUUGAACUUCCAAGUAUGCCUAGUGACCUUUUAAAAUGUAAAAGUUUUCAGAAAAAUGAAGGUUGCUUUCCUUGUAUGUGCUUAUUAUCUUGACUACCUGAACUGCAUGGGAUUUUUAUAUAUUCAUAUGUUCCAAAGUCAGCAACUCACCUGUUGGUUCAUUACUGAAUGUGCUAUAAAUGAAGUCUUUUGCAAUUAAAAGAGAUUUGCCCACA
Molecule: non-coding RNA, 1588 nt
Organism: Callithrix jacchus (white-tufted-ear marmoset)
Lineage: Eukaryota; Metazoa; Chordata; Mammalia; Primates; Cebidae
Source: RefSeq, a predicted model, not a curated record